GGGGCGCCAAUCCCCACCCGCAGUGAAAGUGAAUGGAUUUGAUCCAAUCGGGAUUACUUGAUUGACUCUCUGCUCGUCCCUCCCACGUCCGUUGUUAACCCAAGAAUGCCGGAACGCUUCCUGGGGAUGGUGAAGUCAUACCAAGCUCUGUGCAGGAGGUGACCCCGGUUAUGGCGUGCUAUGCCUGAUCAGGAUCAAGUCAUGGGAAACCCUGACUAAUCGACCCCAAACUAUUAACUGGUUCCAUCCGAUUGUCGGAAUUGACCAUAGGGGCGAAAGACCAAUCGAACCAUCUAGUAGCUGGUUCCUUCCGAACU
Molecule: ribosomal RNA, 317 nt
Filed under: Culex tritaeniorhynchus
Lineage: Eukaryota; Metazoa; Arthropoda; Insecta; Diptera; Culicidae
Description: eukaryotic LSU rRNA
Rfam family: Eukaryotic large subunit ribosomal RNA
Source: RNAcentral